AUGCAGGAGCUAGGGUUGAGAGAGGAGGACCUCGACGACGUGGUCUUCGAUGUGGAGGGGGCACCACCUGACGCUGCGAGGUGGGUGGCGUUGGCUAGGGUUAAUACUCCAAAAACCUAUAGUCAGACGUGGUUUUAUCGGAACAUGAGAUCGGCGUGGGACUUGGCGCAGGAGGUGAAAUUCAGACCGCUGGAAGACAAUUUAUACACAAUCCAGUUUGCGUGUCUCGGAGAUUGGGAG
RNAcentral lists this ribosomal RNA (240 nucleotides) under Triticum aestivum (bread wheat). RNAcentral describes it as "partial small subunit ribosomal RNA". The record is from RNAcentral. Lineage: Eukaryota; Viridiplantae; Streptophyta; Magnoliopsida; Poales; Poaceae.